UGUAGGUUGUCCUGGUGCCUAUGGUGAGGAGGAGUGUAUCACCCAUUCACCUGCAGCCAUCAUUUGAAGAUGUGAGCGAGCUUAGACUGGCUUUGAUCCCAAGGUGAAGAGAAGACCAUCAAAUGCCACUAAAAGUGAGGAGAGUUCAAAGACAGACUAACUAAGCCAAGAAAUGAUGAACACACCCAACUUAAUCAUCUGAGCAGCUGUGUCCUUUAUUUGUGGAACCAAAAAAGUUGAGUGGUGCAUUAGAAUAAAUUCAUGUUAAAGAUCAAUAGAAAUAGAGAGAAAGACAUAUUUUUGAAGGAGAAAAACUCUGUUUUGAUCUUGUGUUAUGGAUUUGUGACCUUUUGUGAAGGAUCUGUGACCUUGUGUGAGGAACUUGUGGCCUUGUGUGAAGGAUCUGUGAACUAGUGUUGAGGAUCUGUGACCUUGUGUAAGGAAUCUGUGACCUUGUGUUAAGGAUCUGUGACCUUGUGUUAAGGAUCUGUGACCUUGUAUGAAGGGUAUGUGACCUUGUUUUAAGGAACUGUUACCUUGAGUGAAGGAUAUGUUACCUCGUGUGAAGGAUCUGUGACCUUAUGUUAUAAUAAAUUACAAUUUGUAAAAUGUUUUAUUAUUUGUAAUAAAUUGCAAUUUUU
Molecule: long non-coding RNA, 641 nt
Organism: Saccostrea echinata
Lineage: Eukaryota; Metazoa; Mollusca; Bivalvia; Ostreida; Ostreidae
Exons: 3
Source: RefSeq, a predicted model, not a curated record